GAUGAACGCUGGCGGCGUGCCUAAUACAUGCAAGUCGAGCGAACAGAUAAGGAGCUUGCUCCUUUGACGUUAGCGGCGGACGGGUGAGUAACACGUGGGUAACCUACCUAUAAGACUGGGAUAACUUCGGGAAACCGGAGCUAAUACCGGAUAAUAUUGCGAACCGCAUGGUUCGAGAGUGAAAGAUGGUUUUGCUAUCACUUAUAGAUGGACCCGCGCCGUAUUAGCUAGUUGGUAAGGUAACGGCUUACCAAGGCGACGAUACGUAGCCGACCUGAGAGGGUGAUCGGCCACACUGGAACUGAGACACGGUCCAGACUCCUACGGGAGGCAGCAGUAGGGAAUCUUCCGCAAUGGGCGAAAGCCUGACGGAGCAACGCCGCGUGAGUGAUGAAGGUCUUCGGAUCGUAAAACUCUGUUAUUAGGGAAGAACAUACGUGUAAGUAACUGUGCACGUCUUGACGGUACCUAAUCAGAAAGCCACGGCUAACUACGUG
This 497-nucleotide ribosomal RNA is filed under the name uncultured bacterium. RNAcentral's name for it is "partial 16S ribosomal RNA". It matches the Rfam family "Bacterial small subunit ribosomal RNA", at positions 28 to 507 of the family's 1533-position model. The record is from RNAcentral.